UUGUGUAUUUUGACGCGUAGAAAUUGAAUCUAUAAGUCAAAAUCGUCGCUCUGCACUGUGAAUUGAGAUAUAGGAUCAGUUCUUUAUAGCUGCACUCUGCUGAACUAAUGCAAUAAGUUAAAAUCUGACAACUAUAUUUUUUCUCACUCUAAGUUAUUGCAUUAGUUCAGUAUUGCAGCUACAAAGAACAGACCCAAUAAUGGUUAAAGUUGACUGGGAUGACAGCGAAAUCAGAACUGAGGGGUCUAAACUGGAUGAUAAUUACCUUAUAUUCAUACGUGCUUAUCCCUAUCUAAAUAGAUAUAGCAAGCACAUCGCUACAUGGCUUUCACCAAGCGAGUGUUGUACAAUGCCUCUUGCCCCCGAACCAAGUCAAAAGUGGCGUCAAGGAGUCCUGGAUGCUGUCCUUGAAACAUAGAUUUACAGCUUCUUUAAAGUUGAAGCCACCGAUGUAAUGGAAAUAGUUGACCUGAAACAGAAAAGACAGCAUUGUUGUAAAGUUCUAUAUGAAUAUCCUGGAAAGCACGUAAUUGUGCGAUCGAUGCUAUGGGGAACAUCUCUGGUCUCUGGUACUGAAGUACAUUGGUUGGUGUUUUGCACGCACUUGUAGAUAUUCUCCAAGAGUGUAUUCAUUUUCCUGACAACACAAGAUGGUAUAUGUCGUAAUCGGCAUUUCGAAAGGCCUCUGCGUUCCGAGUUCCAAACUCAAAUACAAGCGGCCUUACGAACAGCUAAGGAGCGGCACAGGCACAGAAGACGAGGGACGACGGCAGGAGGACCAAGGAUCCAGAGGGACUUAUGGGACGACGAUCGUGAGAAAGAACAAGAGGAAGAGCCCGAAAAUACAUAAAGAAACAAGAAGGAAAUAAACGGGUAUUUACAGAUGCGACAAUCCACGGUCACAGGAGAGAGGGAUUGCCACAGGAGAGAGGGAUUGCUGCAGGAGAGAGGGAUUCCACAUACAUGCUCACACAUGCACACACAUACACGCACACACACAUCACACGUAUUUCGCAGGGUCACUUGUGAAGUAGCGUGCUGCUCCUACGCCUCACAUUACACACAUACACCACACAUACUCUACCCGAAGAGGGUGGAGCAAAUCGGCACUUUUCAGUGCCACAUUUUUAAGACGUUGACGUUGAUACAUCUGUGUUGCAAUAAACAAUCGGUACUAUUCAGUUCCACUCAAUAAAAGUUUAUAUUAU
This is a long non-coding RNA of Harpegnathos saltator (Jerdon's jumping ant), 1208 nucleotides long. RefSeq lists it as uncharacterized. Lineage: Eukaryota; Metazoa; Arthropoda; Insecta; Hymenoptera; Formicidae. The record is from RefSeq and is a predicted model, not a curated record. The transcript has 6 exons.